RNAcentral lists this transfer RNA (67 nucleotides) under Sphaerodactylus townsendi. RNAcentral describes it as "tRNA-Thr". It matches the Rfam family "tRNA". Rfam says of the family: Transfer RNA (tRNA) molecules are approximately 80 nucleotides in length. Their secondary structure includes four short double-helical elements and three loops (D, anti-codon, and T loops). Lineage: Eukaryota; Metazoa; Chordata; Lepidosauria; Squamata; Sphaerodactylidae. The record is from RNAcentral.
UGUGGCUUAGUGAAAGAGCCUCCGCUUUGUAUGCAGAAGAUCUCAGGUUCAAUUCCCAGCAUCUCAA